AAUAGAUACCCGGGUAGUCCACGCCGUAAACGAUGGAUACUAGCUGUUGGGGGCGACCUCAGUGGCUAAGCGAAAGUGAUAAGUAUCCCACCUGGGGAGUACGUUCGCAAGAAUGAAACUCAAAGGAAUUGACGGGGGCCCGCACAAGCGGUGGAGCAUGUGGUUUAAUUCGAUGAUACGCGAGGAACCUUACCAAGGCUUAAAUGCAGACUGACCGUUUUGGAAACAGAACUUUCGCAAGACAGUCUACAAGGUGCUGCAUGGUUGUCGUCAGCUCGUGCCGUGAGGUGUCAGGUUAAGUCCUAUAACGAGCGCAACCCCUGUUGUUAGUUGCCAGCGAGUAGUGUCGGGAACUCUAACAAGACUGCCAGUGCAAACUGUGAGGAAGGUGGGGAUGACGUCAAAUCAUCACGGCCCUUACGCCUUGGGCUACACACGUGCUACAAUGGCCGGUACAGAGAGCAGCCACCUCGCGAGAGGGAGCGAAUCUACAAAGCCGGUCACAGUUCGGAUCGGAGU
RNAcentral lists this ribosomal RNA (519 nucleotides) under uncultured bacterium. RNAcentral's name for it is "bacterial SSU rRNA". It matches the Rfam family "Bacterial small subunit ribosomal RNA", at positions 777 to 1304 of the family's 1533-position model. The record is from RNAcentral.